GAUGAUCGGCCAGAAGACGCUCUACUCCUUUUUCUCCCCCAGCCCCGCCAGGAAGCGACACGCCCCCAGCCCCGAGCCGGCCGUCCAGGGGACCGGCGUGGCUGGGGUGCCUGAGGAAAGCGGAGAUGCGGCGGCCAUCCCAGCCAAGAAGGCCCCGGCUGGGCAGGAGGAGCCUGGGACGCCGCCCUCCUCGCCGCUGAGUGCCGAGCAGUUGGACCGGAUCCAGAGGAACAAGGCCGCGGCCCUGCUCAGACUCGCGGCCCGCAACGUGCCCGUGGGCUUUGGAGAGAGCUGGAAGAAGCACCUCAGCGGGGAGUUCGGGAAACCGUAUUUUAUCAAGCUAAUGGGAUUUGUUGCAGAAGAAAGAAAGCAUUACACUGUUUAUCCACCCCCACACCAAGUCUUCACCUGGACCCAGAUGUGUGACAUAAAAGAUGUAAGUACAACUUGUUGAUAAUUUUUAUUGGGGAGAAGGAGUCAAAUAGUAAUUUUAAAUUA
RNAcentral lists this small RNA (498 nucleotides) under Pan troglodytes (chimpanzee). RNAcentral describes it as "retained intron". Lineage: Eukaryota; Metazoa; Chordata; Mammalia; Primates; Hominidae. The record is from RNAcentral.